GCCGAGGUGGCGGAAUUGGCAGACGCGCUACCUUGAGGUGGUAGUGGGGUAAAACCUGUGUGGGUUCAAAUCCCACCCUCGGCACCA
This 87-nucleotide transfer RNA is filed under the name Candidatus Cloacimonadota bacterium. RNAcentral's name for it is "tRNA-Leu". It matches the Rfam family "tRNA". From Rfam's summary of the family: Transfer RNA (tRNA) molecules are approximately 80 nucleotides in length. Their secondary structure includes four short double-helical elements and three loops (D, anti-codon, and T loops). The record is from RNAcentral. Lineage: Bacteria; Pseudomonadati; Candidatus Cloacimonadota.